AAAAAAUCUAACUUGCUGCUAACACCACCCAUACCACUGGAAAAGACUCACGGUAGCUUACAAAGGCUUCACUCGAAAUCUGGUCGACAAGCACCAUCAGUGGCUGUCCUGGACUGACAGAUACAUUUCAUUCAGUUUUAAGAAAUGCUUCCCAAGUCAUCCAGUUGGUACGACGUUCAUUCUGCCUGGCAAAAGUGGUCUCAUGACACAAAGCAGACAAAGCCAAGUAAGAGAAGGAACAGUGAUGCCAGGGGCUUAGCAAAUCAUCCCCCUGUCCUCUGGAAUACAGCGGGAUGGCUCUAAGCACACUUUGCACACAGAGCAUAGGACAUUCAGGAAGAUGUGUACUUAAUCACUGAAUUAUGGUUAAUAAUGAUUCUGCUUCUUGUAUUAGUCAUCUGUGAUUGUGUUGCAGAUCGUGAGACACUUGAGACUUAUUUUUGCAGAAAGGCAUUAAUCUCCUUGGUUCAGUUAAGAAGCAGAGUCUUCUAUAGAGUCAGAGCCUCAGAGAGCUGCCAACGAGGCAGGGGCAUGGCAUCUCAUCUGAACUUAAUUAUAGGAUUGCAUUUCUUCUCUCUGUGGUCACACAAACACUCAAGAUGAUUGGACGUUCUACAGAACAUAUACAUCGGCAGUGAGCUGUCUGAGGGGUCGGUUGAAAUUUUGCCUACCCCCUUUCUUCCUUGUUCAUUUCCCUCAACCUCCGUCCCUUCCUCCUCCUUCUCCCCCUCCCUUGUGUAAGAGCACAGGUGUGGUUCUGAGACCUUACAUCUGCUGUGCCACUGAACCACACUCUCAGUUCCAUGAAGAACACUCACGUGUCAUGAACAACUUUGACUAAUCCAAAUGUUUGCUGCUGAGAUUUUUUCUUUUGGCCACUGAAAUGUGUGGUUUUUCUAUAGGUUGGUCAGACAAGGUUCUCGAAGAUAUCUUGGGAGGCGGGGGAUACAAACCUGACAAGAAUAAAGAGAGAGGGGACCACAUCACCACUACUACAACAAGAAGGCCAGGAACAACUAGAGCAUUGUCAAAUCCUAUGGAACUUGAUGGGUUUGAAUUGGAAGAUGCCUUGGAUGAUCGGAACGAUCUAGAUGGCCCCAAAAAGAAAAGUACAGGAGAGGGAGGAGGUAAGUUCUAGAUGCUCAACAUCACAGGCCAGUGCUAUAGUUCCUGGUAUGGUUUGUCUUAUACCUGCAAUGGCAUUCUGAGACGUCCAGAGUACUGUAGAUCUGGGCCAGAUCUGGGCCACGUUUAGCUGUAGGAGAACCCCACAACAGUAGUACUGAUAUAUUUUGGUCUUAGGAUUCUCCGAAUUAUUGGGAAUCUCAAUAACUAUUGUCUGUGUGUGUCAUAUCUAUCUCUGUUUAUCAUCUAUAUAUUUAAUUUUUUAAAAAAUCAGUAUUGUUCAUAUAAAAUG
RNAcentral lists this long non-coding RNA (1417 nucleotides) under Rattus norvegicus (Norway rat). Its description in RNAcentral is "long non-coding RNA NONRATT031791". The record is from RNAcentral. Lineage: Eukaryota; Metazoa; Chordata; Mammalia; Rodentia; Muridae.